This 481-nucleotide ribosomal RNA is filed under the name uncultured bacterium. RNAcentral describes it as "partial 16S ribosomal RNA". It matches the Rfam family "Bacterial small subunit ribosomal RNA", at positions 30 to 507 of the family's 1533-position model. The record is from RNAcentral.
AUUGAACGCUGGCGGCAUGCUCUACACAUGCAAGUCGAACGGUAACAGGCCGCAAGGUGCUGACGAGUGGCGAACGGGUGAGUAAUGCAUCGGAACGUGCCAGUCGUGGGGGAUAACUACUCGAAAGAGUAGCUAAUACCGCAUACGAUCUAUGGAUGAAAGCGGGGGACCGUAAGGCCUCGCGCGAUUGGAGCGGCCGAUGUCAGAUUAGGUAGUUGGUGGGGUAAAGGCUCACCAAGCCAACGAUCUGUAGCUGGUCUGAGAGGACGACCAGCCACACUGGGACUGAGACACGGCCCAGACUCCUACGGGAGGCAGCAGUGGGGAAUUUUGGACAAUGGGCGCAAGCCUGAUCCAGCAAUGCCGCGUGCAGGAAGAAGGCCUUCGGGUUGUAAACUGCUUUUGUACGGAACGAAACGGCUCUGGUUAAUACCCGGGGCUAAUGACGGUACCGUAAGAAUAAGCACCGGCUAACUACGUG